GACAACAGUUGGAAACGACUGCUAAUACCGCAUAAGCCCACGGCUCGGCAUCGAGCAGAGGGAAAAGGAGCAAUCCGCUUUGAGAUGGCCUCGCGUCCGAUUAGCUAGUUGGUGAGGUAACGGCCCACCAAGGCAACGAUCGGUAGCCGGACUGAGAGGUUGAACGGCCACAUUGGGACUGAGACACGGCCCAGACUCCUACGGGAGGCAGCAGUGGGGAAUAUUGCACAAUGGGGGAAACCCUGAUGCAGCGACGCCGCGUGGAGGAAGAAGGUCUUCGGAUUGUAAACUCCUGUUGUUGGGGAAGAUAAUGACGGUACCCAACAAGGAAGUGACGGCUAACUACGUGCCAGCAGCCGCGGUAAAACGUAGGUCACAAGCGUUGUCCGGAAUUACUGGGUGUAAAGGGAGCGCAGGCGGGAAGACAAGUUGGAAGUGAAAUCUAUGGGCUCAACCCAUAAACUGCUUUCAAAACUGUUUUUCUUGAGUAGUGCAGAGGUAGGCGGAAUUCCCGGUGUAGCGGUGGAAUGCGUAGAUAUCGGGAGGAACACCAGUGGCGAAGGCGGCCUACUGGGCACCAACUGACGCUGAGGCUCGAAAGUGUGGGUAGCAAACAGGAUUAGAUACCCUGGUAGUCCACACCGUAAAC
Molecule: ribosomal RNA, 649 nt
Filed under: uncultured bacterium
Lineage: Bacteria
Description: bacterial SSU rRNA
Rfam family: Bacterial small subunit ribosomal RNA
Source: RNAcentral